UAUGAUGUAUAUUAUUUUUUGAUUAAAAAUAAAAAUAACUAUAAAUUAUCAAAAUAAUACCUAUUAUGGAUUUUGCGUUUAUUCAUUUUGUUUCUUUAAGUAUUAUUUUUCUAAGUCUAAACAUGUUUUUGAUAAUAAUAUGGUGUUGCAAUCAUUUAUUGAAAACAGCAAAAAUAUCCCGAAAUAAAAUGAAAGUUAAAUUAAAUUUGUGAAUUAUAGAAAAAAGGGAAAUUAAUUGCAUUGCGUAGAAUUUCCAAAGGGUCAUCGAGGAUAUACUUUCUUCUUAAACACGAUAACUUAAAAUAAAUACCAGAGAUUUAUCCAAUACAUCUGUGUUUUUUUUAAAAUAAAUAAGUCUAUUUAAAAAAAAUAUGUACUGAUGUGUAGGUAUUUUGAGCUUAAAUUUGAUUAAAUUGGCUAAACAAGAAACUAAUAUGAUUUCGAUAUUUCAGCUUAAAUUUUUCUUUACCUUGUAAUUAACUGUAAGUCCGUCUCCUUUGUAUAAUCCUAAAAAUGACCAACUUACGUACUUUUUAUAGUUAAUUUGUGUUGUUUUUUUUUCAGGUUUAAAGAAAAUUGACAGGAUCACUGUAUCAAAACAAAGAUUUCUCCAUACCUAUUUCUUUAUUCUGAGCUACCUACUAUAUUAUAAAUGUCUGCUCCAAGUUGCGUCGGUCUCUUUCCCCGUGGUUCUAUUUUAGUAGGUACGUCAUUUGUAAUUAAUUUACUGCUCAUUAUAUGACCACAUUCAGUUUCUUGUAUCGUAUUUUGGCUAUUAUAUUCGGUUUUCGAAUAAUUCCUGUAGGUACCUACUUCAAUCUAUCUACCUAUCUAAUUUCAUAGUUACGUAUCAUAAAUCUUAAAGAAUUUUUUCUCCAUGAUGUUUAGUUUUCUCUCAUCUUCCUGGAUCAUGGGCUACGUUUCACAUGUGUACAUUAUCACUGGUCUUGGUAUUUCGAUUUCCUGGAUAGCAGUUUCGAUCCCUAAACUCCGGUAGUGUAUAGAAACAAUUUCUUCCUGUGUACUUUAGUUUUAGUACCUGUAUAAUUAGUUUUUUAAUUUCUUAUCGUGAUUACCAUUUAUAUUACUUAGGUCGGGGUUUAAAUAUUAAAAAUUGUUCACUUCCUUCCCAACAUAUACUUUGUAACUCGUAGUCUAGUUGUUUGUUGCAUUUGAAGUUAGUUCAUGGAGAUAUGUUUGUAUUAAGUUGUAUUCUCGUUAAUGACUAAUACUAGUUUUUUAGUCUGUAUCAAAGAUUCUGUUCAUUUUUGUAUACCUUGCUCAUUUUUAUCCAAUAUGACGACGUCAUCAGAAUAUCUAUGCUAACAGAGGAAUAUUUCGACCCAGUUGAUUAUUAUAAACCUAUUAGUUUUGUACUCUACUAUUGCUUUUAACACGAUAUUAAAGAGUAAUAGUGAUUGGCGCGUUGCCUUGUUUUAUCCUUGUUGUUUGGAAUUGUUCUGAGUUUUCGUGACCAAAUUUAAUCGUGAAUUUUGAUCCUUUUGUACUCGCAUUAAACAUCAAUAUUUAUUUUAAGGGAACUCCAAAUAACUGUAAACAUCUCCAUAUUUCUGUUCUCUACAUUUAGUGUUAUGCUUAUUUGAGGUUUACAAAGAUUAAGUUUAGUGGCUUAUUAAAUUCUUCGUACUUUUUUAUUACUUGUUUAAAUGUGAAUAUAUGGUCUAUUUUUAAAUUUACCUGACUUGAAACCAUUCUAAUAUUUUAUAAUAUUAUUACCGUAUGGUUUUAAUCGGUUUAGUGUAGGUUUGGUAGGAUUUUGUACCUAUAUAGUGUUAAGUAGGGAGAUCCUGUAGUUUUUGAAGUCUAUGAGGUUCCUUUUCUUGUAUAUAGGGCAUAUUAUCGAUAUGUUCCACUCCAGUAAAAUCCUCUCGGCUGUCUGUACACAGGUAUAUGAUUAGGUUUCAUACUACUUGUGUUAAUUUUUAUCCACUGUUCUUUAAUAAUUCAGCCUCGAUAAAAUCUUUCUGACUAAGUAUUUUAUCCUCUGAUUCUACAGUUAAAUACUUUAUGUCCCUUUGAGUGGCGUCCAUUGGCGUUUUUAGCAAUUAUUUAAAUAUUUCUCUGAAUUUGUUUACUUCUUUAUUAAGAGUGUUAUUGUUGUCUGAUGUUGAUGAUCAGUGUUCUUGAUUUAUGUUUCUUUGAUAGCUCAUUUGUUAUUUCAAAAAAAAAAAAAAAAAAAAA
RNAcentral lists this long non-coding RNA (2202 nucleotides) under Cinara cedri. The record is from RNAcentral. Lineage: Eukaryota; Metazoa; Arthropoda; Insecta; Hemiptera; Aphididae.